GAGCGUGGAUCAAAAGGACUUGU
RNAcentral lists this non-coding RNA (23 nucleotides) under Arabidopsis thaliana (thale cress). Lineage: Eukaryota; Viridiplantae; Streptophyta; Magnoliopsida; Brassicales; Brassicaceae. The record is from RNAcentral.